Molecule: long non-coding RNA, 1016 nt
Organism: Passer domesticus (house sparrow)
Lineage: Eukaryota; Metazoa; Chordata; Aves; Passeriformes; Passeridae
Exons: 3
Source: RefSeq, a predicted model, not a curated record
CCUGCACUCAUUUAAAUUAAGUUAAUUAGCUCUGAAAUAACUGUCUAAGAGUCAGGAAGCACAGACUCCACACCAAAAAGACAAAUGGAAAGAGACAAGCAAGAGCUUUGAAUGUUGCAAUUCUGAAGGCUUAGUCACUGCAUCAGCACAGCUCACAAACAGUCUGGUAUUGUCAGGGCUGACUUCUAUACAGCACAUAAAUCUUUAUUAUGAGGCAUAUGUUUCUGACAGCCCCACAGCACACAGGCUGUUGCAAGAUGCCUUUCAAAAGAAGCAUCAGCCUCACCACGUGUGGAAAAGACGGGUUUGCCAUUACAGUGCCUGAUGCAGUUUAAAAAUCUAGCAAGCACUUAGUCUAAGUACGUCAUCUUCAAAAGCCUCACAGGUAAUGGCCAGGCAGAUGUCUGAAACAACUCCACACAGGAAUGCAAGUCCAAAAGGGGAGAUCACUGAGAUGGGCAGGAGCCAAAAAAAAUUGAACUUUGCAUUUGCAAUGCAAUGUUCAUUUAAUGCAUAUUACAAGGGACAGCACGUUAAUAUUCCUCUCCUGAAAGAAUGGCAACAAGAAACAGAAAAUAGAAGAAUGCCAUGAGGAAAGCCAUGGAGUAGCAAGAGCUGGAGAGAGUCACUGCUGCAGACAGGAUUCAAAGAAGUUGUGAAGAUCUGGGCCACUCUUAUGCAGAGGUUUAAAAAUUAACAUGUAAGAGAAAGAGAAAAAGGAAGCAAAUUCAAGAUUUGAAGACUGUUGAAGAUUUGAAGAUGGUUCACCAAAAAACCAGCAGGCUAACAAAUAAACUAUCAGUCCUCUUGAAAUGCCUCACAUAUACACAUUAAUACCAUAACAAAUUCUUGUUCUGACUUCUGCUUCAUGCCAUGAACAUUCUUGCCAACUCUAGCAGGAAGACUCAUGGAUCAGAAGGCAUACUCUGAACAAUAACUGGCCUGAAGAAGAGGGCCUGUUUUUAAUAAACUUCAGAGACAGCCUCACAAGGCUACCCUGGAAACAGCAAGCUGAA